UGUAAUCAGUGAUCCUGUUUUUGAUCUCAUCAGGGUGGAGAUGCAAUGCAUUGCACACUCAAGAUGUACAUGCUUGAGGGUGUGUCAAGGUGGAAUUUGAACCGGUCAGCACAAGCACUUGGUAUGACUGAGACAUCCUGGACAAAGAUAUAUGACAUACGCUUGAUUUACAACGUGAAUGCGCUCAGCCACAAAGUCUUGGGAAAACCUCUUCUUCCAGAGUUUAUCCCCCCUGGGAAACCUACCGGUAAGAAAAGUCUGCUGUUGAUGAUGAUCAAACCUAUACUGUGACAUGGUAGGCAAUUAUUACACAAUCAUUUUUCACUUGGUGACUACUUAUUGCAGGAGAGCGUAUUGCUGUGUAUCUUCUCGCACAGUCCAACAGAGGAGAUCUUCUGAGACAGCAGGUUGGUGAUGAUGAUGAUUGAUGAUGAGGAUAAUGAUGGCAUCCUGCCAGAUAUCUUCGAUGAAACCUCGAGGAUGAAUGUACCGUCCUCAUGACCUCACAUUGCAGGUAAUAUUAUGUCAACAGUAUAUCAGACAUCAAAAUAAUAUUGGAGAACUUAUAAACAGUUCAUUUUUAAUGAAAAACAGACACAAAAAACCUUUAAAAGAUAAAUGUAUUCUUUUAUUAAUCACCUCAGGAAAUUGGAAGCGGUGGCCCCAGGCCCAGGUCGGAUCCCCGGUCCCCAUUUGAGGAGAGUUAUGCCUCUGCAAGACCCGUCCACUCCCCAAUUGAGGAGAGAGAUGCCUCUUCAAGUCCCGUCCACUCCCCAACUGAUGAGAGAGAUGCCACUGCAAGUCCUGUCCACUCCCCAAUCGAUGUCCUCGCCUCAUUUGAAGAGAGUGGGCUCGUUACUCCAGCUCCGGACACUAGGUGUGAUGCAAACGAGGUCCGAACACAUUCCUAUCGAGAUCAUAGAGUUUCAAACGAGGUCCGAGCACUGAUUCCGAACUGUGUAGGUCACGUGAAUUAGGAGGCGUGGUUAUCGCUUUAGAGUGGCAGCCAUUUUUUUCCACCGCAUCACAACAACUGACUCGGGAAAAAGGUUUGGAAACUUGAUUAAUACUCAUAAAAGCAACACCAUAAAAAACAAAACGGUUAACGAUUUCAUUUCUCGUCCCGGCAGCAUGGUAUUCAACUUUGUAUUUCAACUUUCUUGUUACGUGGCCACUUUGCUAACGGAGCAUCUGACUGCUGUGCAUACUAGCACUGUGUGGCUACGGCCAGCAGGGUGGGGAUAUUGGCGAUAUGAUGGGAUCAGAAGACCAAUAAUAACUUAUUUAUUUGCCGUUUAAGCGCCUUAUGAUGUGAAAUAAUUGUGCCAGGGUUCGUCCCCUCCGGUAAUGGAGCCUGGUUAUAUGUUGGCAGAUGUGUCCAGAUGUAGCCUAUGACAUGCUUGUGCAAAGUUAAUUUAUUAACAAUAAUAAAACAGUCCGGCAAAACAUACCUCACACACACACACACACACACACACACACACACACACACACACACACACACACACACACACACACACACACACACUAUAAUAAUUUCCUCCACUCGGUCUGUCUGUACACAUAUAGCCUAGCUCGACAUUAACCUGU
Long non-coding RNA from Gadus morhua (Atlantic cod), 1590 nucleotides. The record is from Ensembl. NCBI's taxonomy places the organism in Eukaryota, Metazoa, Chordata, Actinopteri, Gadiformes, Gadidae.